UACGGAGGGUGCAAGCGUUAUCCGGAUUCACUGGGGUUAAAGGGUGCGUAGGUGGAUUGGUAAGUCCGUGGUGAAAUCCCCGAGCUUAACUUGGGAACUGCCAUGGAUACUAUUAAUCUUGAAUGUCGUGGAGAUGAGCGGAAUAUGUCAUGUAGCGGUGAAAUGCUUAGAUAUGACAUAGAACACCAAUUGCGAAGGCAGCUCGUUACGCGAAUAUUGACACUGAUGCACGAAAGCGUGGGGAGCGAUCCGG
RNAcentral lists this ribosomal RNA (253 nucleotides) under uncultured bacterium. Its description in RNAcentral is "partial 16S ribosomal RNA". It matches the Rfam family "Bacterial small subunit ribosomal RNA", at positions 524 to 776 of the family's 1533-position model. The record is from RNAcentral.